AAGGAGUCUAACGUGUGCGCGAGUCAACGGUGAUCUUACGAAAAAUCCACGUUUGGCGCAAUGAAAGUGAACCGUUUACGGUGCGGACGAUGGCCUAGCGACCGAACCCACCGGCGUUCAAAGUCGCGCUGGUCCGCAGUCCGGGGGCGUCUCCGCCAAGUCGGCUUCGGCCGGCUGGGGGCGCACCCUUAGCGCACACGUUGGUACCCGAAAGAUGGUGAACUAUGCCUGGCCAGGAUGAAGUCAGGGGAAACCCUGAUGGAGGUCCGCAGCGAUUCUGACGUGCAAAUCGAUCGUCUGAGCUGGGUAUAGGGGCGAAAGACUAAUCGAACCAUCUAGUAGCUGGUUCCAUCCGAAGUUUCCCUCAGGAUAGCUGGCGCCGAUGUGUCCCGCCCGUUCGCGGGCGUACGGACGCCGGUGGGACUCCGCGCUGUACGGCGCGGUAACAACACGCUCGUAACACGGAGGAUGUCUCAUACGGUAAAGCGAAUGAUUAGAGGACAUUGGGGCCGAAACGACCUCAACCUAUUCUCAAACUAUAAAUGAGUGAGAUCGCCGGCUUUACCUGGUACACCGCGUGAACCGCGUGCGAAGCCGGCGACGGAACCCUAGGCGCUUAGUGGGCCAUUUUUGGUAAGCAGAACUGGCGCUGCGGGAUGAACCGAACGCCGAGUUAAGGCGCCGAAAUCGACGCGUAUUCAGAGACCAUGAAAGGCGUUGGUUGCUGAUGACAGCAGGACGGUGGCCAUGGAAGUCGGAAUCCGCAUAAGGAGUGUGUAACAACUCACCUGCCGAAGCAACUAGCU
Molecule: non-coding RNA, 806 nt
Filed under: Acyrthosiphon pisum (pea aphid)
Lineage: Eukaryota; Metazoa; Arthropoda; Insecta; Hemiptera; Aphididae
Description: Eukaryotic large subunit ribosomal RNA
Rfam family: Eukaryotic large subunit ribosomal RNA
Source: Rfam by way of RNAcentral